RNAcentral lists this ribosomal RNA (329 nucleotides) under uncultured eukaryote. RNAcentral describes it as "partial 18S ribosomal RNA". It matches the Rfam family "Eukaryotic small subunit ribosomal RNA", at positions 1470 to 1796 of the family's 1831-position model. The record is from RNAcentral.
CCCUUAGAUGUUCUGGGCAGCACGCGCGCUACAAUGGUCUUCGCAAACGGAUGCAUUCUCGAAGGAGAAUGCCAAUCUUGGAAUCUAUGCCUUGGUCGGGACAGUUGCUUGCAAUUUUUCGACUCGAACCAGGAAUUCCUUGUAAUCGUGAUUCAUCACAUCACGAUGAAUACGUCCCUGCCCUUUGUACACACCGCCCGUCGCUCCUACCGAUUGAAUGAUCCGGUGAACCCCUCGGAUUGGUCAGACCAGUUGGCGGGGCAACUCGUCAGCUUCUGGCCGAGAAGUUGGGUAAACCUUAUCAUUUAGAGGAAGGAGAAGUCGUAACA